GUGGAUGUGCCGGAGUGGUUAUCGGGCAUGACUCGAAAUCAUGUGGGCUCUGCCCGCGCAGGUUCGAAACCUGCCAUCCACG
Molecule: transfer RNA, 82 nt
Filed under: Selaginella moellendorffii
Lineage: Eukaryota; Viridiplantae; Streptophyta; Lycopodiopsida; Selaginellales; Selaginellaceae
Description: tRNA tRNA-Ser
Rfam family: tRNA
About the family: Transfer RNA (tRNA) molecules are approximately 80 nucleotides in length. Their secondary structure includes four short double-helical elements and three loops (D, anti-codon, and T loops).
Source: Rfam by way of RNAcentral